RNAcentral lists this unclassified non-coding RNA (242 nucleotides) under rhizosphere metagenome. RNAcentral describes it as "partial ribosomal RNA internal transcribed spacer region". The record is from RNAcentral.
AUAGGUGAACCUGUGGAAGGAUCAUUCACAAUAAGUGUUUGUGGCACUUUUAAAAAUUCCAUACCCACCUUGUGUGCAACGUUUGAAUCUGCUCCAUGCAUCUCCCUCUUUCGAGUGGGCCAUGGGGAGUAAGAUAUCUUUAAUCCAUUAAUCUGUUUUAAACCAGUUUUGUCUAAAGCAAUGUAUCAUUGAAUUGACCUAAUUCGAAAAUACAACUUUCAACAACAGAUCUCUUGGCUCUC